CCUACGGGAGGCAGCAGUGGGGAAUCUUGGUCAAUGGACGCAAGCCUGACCCAGCAACGCCGCGUGAAGGCAGAAGGCUUUCUGGUUUUAAACUUCUUUUGUCAGGGACGAAGCCAGAUACGGUACCUUACGACUAAGCCACGGUUAACGACGUGCCUGCAGCCCCGGUGAUACGUAGGUCGCAAGCGUUAUCCGGAUUUACUGGUUGUAAGGGGCGUGUAGGCGGGACUGCAAGUCAGAUGUGAAAACCACGGGCUCAACCUGUGCCCUGCAUUUGAAACUGUAGUUCUUGAGUACUGGAGAGGCAGACGGAAUGCCUAGUGUAGCGGUGAAAUGCGUAGAUAUUA
RNAcentral lists this ribosomal RNA (347 nucleotides) under uncultured bacterium. Its description in RNAcentral is "partial 16S ribosomal RNA". It matches the Rfam family "Bacterial small subunit ribosomal RNA", at positions 338 to 699 of the family's 1533-position model. The record is from RNAcentral.